AGGAGCCAGAAGGGGCAAAGUUAGUAGUAGGAGAUGGGAGGAAAGAAGCAGGAGGGAGGUGAAGCAAGGACCAGGCCAUGGGUCAAAGGGUGCCUUCUGACUCUAGAUGCUGAAAAAGGCAAAGAAGUGGCUGUUUCUUCAGAGUCUCCAAGAGGUAUCAGCUCUGCUGACACCGUGGCUUCGACACACCGUGACUGACUUUGGAUUUCUAACCUCCAACUGUCAGGUGGGAGUAAAAAGCAAGCAGUUCCUGGCCCAUAAUACUCCAGUUUAGGAUGUCUGACUGAUGGCAUGCUGGCACCAGCCUUGGAGGAAGUGAUGAGCUUCAGCUCCAGGUUCCUGUCCUGAGACCACAGCAGGAUGUGCCUUGGUCAAAGGCUUGGACUCUUGGAUCAUCUGGUGACUUCAGAAUUCUGGUCUCAGGGUGGUGAACUUUUUCUUUGAAUUCCUAACCUGUGAGCCUGUGCAUUACUAACCACUGUGGGAUAAUUAAAGCAGGAAGGACAAAGGUGAAUGAAAAACUGAAAGGUGUCUUGAAGAUUGGUUCAAAGACUUUACAUGGCAAUAAUAAGUCUAAUCCUGUACUAGUCUUCUUAAAUAGCUAAAUAAUGAGUUUAUCUGUAAAAUACAGCACAGCUUACACAAACCUUAAUUCAUGAAUGUGUCUGUCCCUGAAGAUAAAUGAUAGUUAAAGGGAAAAAAAAAAUCCAGUGAAGAUAGACACUGAAUAGAAGUAACUGAUAACAGUUAAAUAUACUUUAUUUAAACAGAGAUUACAGAGUUUAAGGGCAAAUAAAGUUCAAAGAUACACAGCUGACUUAUUGGAGGAAGAAAACCAGUAGAAACUGAAGAGAUGUCAACAUGUAGAAUAUUUUAUUAUAUAUAAUUUGAGCCCCAAACUAAAAUGAAAUAUGCAAUAAAAUUAUAAUCUGAGAGUACAAACACCCUUUAAAAAGAAAAAAAUAAAUGGUGAAAUAUAUUCAGAAAAAAAAUUCCAAAUAACUAAGAUGUUUUGGUACUAUAAAUGAAGACUGAGUUUUUUUCUUUUUUGUAGUUAAAUGCUAUUUUAAUUUUUAUUUUUAACAUUUUAUUGUAGCAAAAUGCACAUAAGAUUAAAUAUACUAACCUUAGAGUAAAAUUAUUGGACACACAAAAUAUCAUCUGUAUAUUUUUAGUUCAUAUUUAAUGAUAUAUUGAUUUAACUGUUAAAGUACAAUAUUGUGUUUUCUCUCCCUGAAAAGUCAUAUUUUUAGUUCCUGGCCCAAUAUCUGGCAACAGCAGAUGGUCUCUGAACCUUUGCUAUCUAGAAUAUCAAGUUUAUAUAAACUAAGUAGAAGUUUUUUGUU
This is a long non-coding RNA of Bubalus bubalis (water buffalo), 1346 nucleotides long. RefSeq lists it as uncharacterized. Lineage: Eukaryota; Metazoa; Chordata; Mammalia; Artiodactyla; Bovidae. The transcript has 6 exons. The record is from RefSeq and is a predicted model, not a curated record.